This 356-nucleotide transfer-messenger RNA is filed under the name Nisaea acidiphila. RNAcentral's name for it is "Alphaproteobacteria transfer-messenger RNA". It matches the Rfam family "Alphaproteobacteria transfer-messenger RNA". Rfam says of the family: Bacterial tmRNA, also known as 10Sa RNA or SsrA, is named for its dual tRNA and mRNA-like properties. Its role is to liberate the mRNA from a stalled ribosome. The record is from Rfam by way of RNAcentral. Lineage: Bacteria; Pseudomonadati; Pseudomonadota; Alphaproteobacteria; Rhodospirillales; Thalassobaculaceae.
CCUCUUUUUCCCAAGGCCACUAGCGCCUAUAUUCAGCCUGUCGGGCAACCGACUAUGGCGAUAAACGGCCUGUGAAAUAAGCAUUGCGGACCCGGGGGCGGUACCCGGCGCCUCCACCAAAGAUUCCCGGCCUCGUGGCUGGCUCCUUGGGGGCGAAAUAGGAUCGACGCGUGUGGUAAAGACAGUUCUUUCGCUCGGCAUGGUUCCGCCGUUAUCGGGCCAUUAUAGUAGUUGCAAACGACAACUAUGCGGAAGCUCGCCUCGCUGCGUAAGCAGUCAGGUGCUUCAAUUAAGUCCUAAGGGUUCGCACUUUUAGGCGGGGUUUGGGGCGCACCUGGCAACAGAAGCGUCCCGCU